CUACGGACUUAAUUGGAUUGAGCCUUGGUACGGAAAUUUACUAAGUGAUAACUUUCAAAUUCAGAGAAACCCUGGAAUCAAUAAAAAUGGGCAAUCCUGAGCCAAAUCAUGUUUUCCGAAAACAAACAAAGGUUCAGAAAGCGAAAAUAAAAAAGGAUAGGUGCAGAUAAUACUCAACAAAAAAUCCGACCUGCCGGAUUCGAACCAGCGACCUAAGGAUUUCAGCAAUUUACAACUACAGUCCUCCGCUCUACCAACUGAGCUAAGGUCGGCUUGUUCCUUUUUGCCAAUAAACAACUUUUAUCAUGUAUAACAUAGCUUUUUUCCUUUUUUUUUUUCCUAAUGCAACUUAGUUCAAGCAUUGG
RNAcentral lists this small RNA (365 nucleotides) under Helianthus annuus (common sunflower). RNAcentral describes it as "sRNA HanXRQr2_Chr17g0820081". It matches the Rfam family "Group I catalytic intron", at positions 1 to 172 of the family's 253-position model. From Rfam's summary of the family: Group I catalytic introns are large self-splicing ribozymes. The record is from RNAcentral. Lineage: Eukaryota; Viridiplantae; Streptophyta; Magnoliopsida; Asterales; Asteraceae.